GCUUGUCUCAAAGAUUAAGCCAUGCAUGUCUAAGUAUAAACGACUUUAUACUGUGAAACUGCGAAUGGCUCAUUAUAUCAGUUAUAGUUUAUUUGAUGGUCCUUGCUACUUGGAUAACCGUAGUAAUUCUAGAGCUAAUACAUGCACAAAGGCCCAUUCACGUGGGUUGUGAUUAUUAGAUUCAAACCGGCCUCGUUCUGGUGAUUCAUAAUAAUUGGUCGAAUCGCAUGGCCUUGCGCCGGCGAUGUUUCAUUCAAAUUUCUGCCCUAUCAAUUUGAUGGUAGGAUAGAGGCCUACCAUGGUGGUAACGGGUGACGGAGAAUUAGGGUUCGAUUCCGGAGAGGGAGCCUGAGAAACGGCUACCACAUCCAAGGAAGGCAGCAGG
RNAcentral lists this ribosomal RNA (385 nucleotides) under uncultured Cryptomonas. RNAcentral's name for it is "partial small subunit ribosomal RNA". It matches the Rfam family "Eukaryotic small subunit ribosomal RNA", at positions 30 to 432 of the family's 1831-position model. Lineage: Eukaryota; Cryptophyceae; Cryptomonadales; Cryptomonadaceae. The record is from RNAcentral.